CCUACGGGAGGCAGCAGUGGGGAAUAUUGGACAAUGGACCAAAAGUCUGAUCCAGCAAUUCUGUGUGCACGAUGAAGUUUUUCGGAAUGUAAAGUGCUUUCAGUUGGGAAGAAGUCAGUGACGGUACCAACAGAAGAAGCGACGGCUAAAUACGUGCCAGCAGCCGCGGUAAUACGUAGGCGGCAAGCGUUGUCCGGAAUUAUUGGGCGUAAAGGGAGCGCAGGCGGGAAACUAAGCGGAUCUUAAAAGUGCGGGGCUCAACCCCGUAUUGCGUUGGAAACUGCUAAACUAGAGUACUGGAGAGGUAGGCGGAACUACAAGUGUAGAGGUGAAAUUCGUAGAUAUUUGUAGGAAUGCCGAUGGGGAAGCCAGCCUACUGGACAGAUACUGACGCUAAAGCGCGAAAGCGUGGGUAGCAAACAGG
Molecule: ribosomal RNA, 424 nt
Filed under: uncultured Lutispora sp.
Lineage: Bacteria; Bacillati; Bacillota; Clostridia; Lutisporales; Lutisporaceae
Description: bacterial SSU rRNA
Rfam family: Bacterial small subunit ribosomal RNA
Source: RNAcentral